This 588-nucleotide ribosomal RNA is filed under the name uncultured Glomus. Its description in RNAcentral is "SSU rRNA". It matches the Rfam family "Eukaryotic small subunit ribosomal RNA", at positions 624 to 1213 of the family's 1831-position model. The record is from RNAcentral. Lineage: Eukaryota; Fungi; Glomeromycota; Glomeromycetes; Glomerales; Glomeraceae.
AAGCUCGUAGUUGAAUUUCCGAAUCAAUGGAUUGGUCAUGCCGUUGGUAUAUACUGGUCAUAUUGGUUCUCACCUUCUAAGGAACCAUAAUGUCACUCAUUUGAUGUUUUGGGGAAUUAGGACUGUUACCUUGAAAAAAUUAGAGUGUUUAAAGCAGGCUAACGCUUGAAUACAUUAGCAUGGAAUAAUGAAAUAGGACAUCGCAUUCUAUUUUGUUGGUUUCUAGGAUCGAUGUAAUGAUUAAUAGGGAUAGUUGGGGGUAUUAGUAUUCAAUUGUCAGAGGUGAAAUUCUUGGAUUUAUUGAAGACUAACUACUGCGAAAGCAUUUGCCAAGGAUGUUUUCAUUAAUCAAGAACGAAAGUUAGGGGAUCGAAGACGAUCAGAUACCGUCGUAGUCUUAACCAUAAACUAUGCCGACUAGGGAUCGGAUGAUGUUGAUUUUUUAAUGACUCAUUCGGCACCUUACGGGAAACCAAAGUGUUUGGGUUCCGGGGGGAGUAUGGUCGCAAGGCUGAAACUUAAAGGAAUUGACGGAAGGGCACCACCAGGGGUGGAGCCUGCGGCUUAAUUUGACUCAACACGGGGAAA